UGGGGAAUAUUGCACAAUGGGCGCAAGCCUGAUGCAGCAACGCCGCGUGAGGGACGACGGCCUUCGGGUUGUAAACCUCUUUUAGUAGGGAAGAAGCGAAAGUGACGGUACCUGCAGAAAAAGCACCGGCUAACUACGUGCCAGCAGCCGCGGUAAUACGUAGGGUGCGAGCGUUGUCCGGAAUUAUUGGGCGUAAAGAGCUCGUAGGCGGUCUGUCGCGUCUGCUGUGAAAACCCGAGGCUCAACCUCGGGCCUGCAGUGGGUACGGGCAGACUAGAGUGCGGUAGGGGAGAAUGGAAUUCCUGGUGUAGCGGUGGAAUGCGCAGAUAUCAGGAGGAACACCGAUGGCGAAGGCAGUUCUCUGGGCCGUAACUGACGCUGAGGAGCGAAAGCGUGGGGAGCGAACAGGAUUAGAUACCCUGGUAGUCCACGCCGUAAACGUUGGGCGCUAGAUGUGGGGACCAUUCCACGGUUUCCGUGUCGCAGCUAACGCAUUAAGCGCCCCGCCUGGGGAGUACGGCCGCAAGGCUAAAA
Molecule: ribosomal RNA, 534 nt
Filed under: uncultured bacterium
Lineage: Bacteria
Description: partial 16S ribosomal RNA
Rfam family: Bacterial small subunit ribosomal RNA
Source: RNAcentral